CCUCUCUCAGAUUGACAAUUUCAUAGGUGCAUAUAUUGACGAUAUGAACAGAUCGAUGCCCACCAAGGUAUUGAUGGUCCAAAUCUCUGGGUGAUGAGAUUAUCUAUAUUUUUUGUUUCUUCUUUUUGAUUGGACACAGCUUUGAUUUAAAAAGGAUAAAGCCUAUUUUUAAUACAAGGAAGAAAAAGAUUUUAGAGGUACAGCACUUCUCUGAAGGAGAGGGUAAAGGUCCUGAGUGAACCGCGCAAUGUAAAUUUGCUUUGCUGCAUGCUGUCCUCGGCUCAGCCACAGCUUCAUUCUCAGACGCUUCCCUCCGUCCUCAGGGAAAUAGGAAACCUGGAGGGCUGGCCUCUCAGGCAUUCUUAGAAGUCCGCUGCCGCCAUGACUUCACACUUUGUCCUGGGAUCCUGUGACUCUCGGGCACAGACCCAGAGCAGCCCUCACUCAAUUGCUUCUUUGAUUUUCUCCCAGUUGGACUGUCAGGGAUUGUUGGCCAGUGGGAGGCUGCUGAGUGGUGAACUGUGCGGAGAAACAACAAUCGCAUUUCUUUCUGCCAGCAGUCAAGUUUCUUUUGAGACACAUGUGCACACAGAGGGAUCGGACCCCUUCCGCUGAGACACGGCCUAAACCAGUUUCCCUAACGUGCAAGCUGCCUGGAGACCAGCAGGCCUACAAUUUAUUCCUUCUUGUCAGUCUUUUUUACAUCUUUUGGGGUCUGUCCAUCUCUUUUUUGCCAGGUCUCUGGCAUCUUAAACAUUUUAAACCGAUAUGAGUAAGAGUCUUUCCUAUUUCUAGUAAGUAUUUGUCACAUUUGCGGUACUUUUAUAAUUAAUGAGAUAUGUGCUUCUGAGAAGUUUCAGAGGGACUCAGUGACAGGAGGCUCAGGAGCUCGAUAAGGGUUUGUAUCCUAGUUCUGCCAGUUACUAGGAUACGGUAUUUAACCUCCUCGAUCUUGGGUUUCUCCGAGUGUGAUAGUUAGUUUUACAUGUCAACUUGACUGGGCCACAGGGUGCCCAGACAUUUGGCUAAACAUUAUUUCUGGGUGUGUCUGUGAGGGUGUUUCCGGAUGAGAUUAGCGUUUGAAGUGGUAGACCGAGUAAAGCAGAUGGCCCUCGCCAGUGUGUGUGUGCCUCAUCCAGUCUGUUGAGGCCCUGAUAGAACAGAGGCAGAAGGAUUCAAUUCAUUCUCUCCGCUUGACUGCUUCAGCUGGAACACUGGUCUUCUCCAGUCCUCGGAAGGGGACUCUCACCCUUGGCUCCCCCAGUUUGCAGGCCUUCUGACUUGGACUGGAACGACCCCACCAGCAUUCCCGGGUCUCCAGCUUGCAGAUGGCAGACUGUGGGACUUCUCGGCUUCCAUAAUUGCGAAUGAAUUCUUCAUAAUAAAUCGAUCUGUCUCUCA
Equus caballus (horse) is the source of this 1401-nucleotide long non-coding RNA. NCBI's taxonomy places the organism in Eukaryota, Metazoa, Chordata, Mammalia, Perissodactyla, Equidae. The record is from Ensembl.